RNAcentral lists this ribosomal RNA (1327 nucleotides) under Boeremia noackiana. RNAcentral describes it as "eukaryotic LSU rRNA". It matches the Rfam family "Eukaryotic large subunit ribosomal RNA", at positions 68 to 1414 of the family's 3401-position model. Lineage: Eukaryota; Fungi; Ascomycota; Dothideomycetes; Pleosporales; Didymellaceae. The record is from RNAcentral.
ACAGGGAUUGCCCUAGUAACGGCGAGUGAAGCGGCAACAGCUCAAAUUUGAAAUCUGGCGUCUUUGGCGUCCGAGUUGUAAUUUGCAGAGGGCGCUUUGGCAUUGGCAGCGGUCCAAGUUCCUUGGAACAGGACGUCACAGAGGGUGAGAAUCCCGUACGUGGUCGCUAGCCUUUACCGUGUAAAGCCCCUUCGACGAGUCGAGUUGUUUGGGAAUGCAGCUCUAAAUGGGAGGUAAAUUUCUUCUAAAGCUAAAUACUGGCCAGAGACCGAUAGCGCACAAGUAGAGUGAUCGAAAGAUGAAAAGCACUUUGGAAAGAGAGUUAAAAAGCACGUGAAAUUGUUGAAAGGGAAGCGCUUGCAGCCAGACUUGCCUGUAGUUGCUCAUCCGGGUUUUUACCCGGUGCACUCUUCUACAGGCAGGCCAGCAUCAGUUUGGGCGGUUGGAUAAAGGUCUCUGUCACGUACCUCCUUUCGGGGAGAACUUAUAGGGGAGACGUAAUGCAACCAGCCUGGACUGAGGUCCGCGCAUCUGCUAGGAUGCUGGCGUAAUGGCUGUAAGCGGCCCGUCUUGAAACACGGACCAAGGAGUCUAACAUCUAUGCGAGUGUUUGGGUGUCAAGCCCGAGCGCGUAAUGAAAGUGAACGGAGGUGGGAACCUUUCGGGGUGCACCAUCGACCGAUCCUGAUGUCUUCGGAUGGAUUUGAGUAAGAGCAUAGCUGUUGGGACCCGAAAGAUGGUGAACUAUGCUUGAAUAGGGUGAAGCCAGAGGAAACUCUGGUGGAGGCUCGCAGCGGUUCUGACGUGCAAAUCGAUCGUCAAAUUUGGGCAUAGGGGCGAAAGACUAAUCGAACUAUCUAGUAGCUGGUUCCUGCCGAAGUUUCCCUCAGGAUAGCAGUAACGUUUUCAGUUUUAUGAGGUAAAGCGAAUGAUUAGAGGCCUGGGGGUUGAAACAACCUUCACCUAUUCUCAAACUUUAAAUAUGUAAGAAGUCCUUGUUACUUAAUUGAACGUGGACAGUUGAAUGUAUCGUUACUAGUGGGCCAUUUUUGGUAAGCAGAACUGGCGAUGCGGGAUGAACCGAACGCGGGGUUAAGGUGCCAGAAUAUACGCUCAUCAGACACCACAAAAGGUGUUAGUUCAUCUAGACAGCAGGACGGUGGCCAUGGAAGUCGGAAUCCGCUAAGGAGUGUGUAACAACUCACCUGCCGAAUGAACUAGCCCUGAAAAUGGAUGGCGCUCAAGCGUAUUACCCAUACCCCGCCGCUGGGGCAAGAUUUAAGCCCCAGCGAGUAGGCAGGCGUGGAGGUCCGUGACGAAGCCUUGG